AGUUUGAUCCUGGCUCAGAUUGAACGCUGGCGGGAUGCUUUGCCACAUGCAAGUCGUGAACGGCAGCACGGAUCCCGGUCUGGUGGCGAGUGGCGAACGGGUGAGUAAUGUAUCGGAACGUGCCUAGUAGCGGGGGAUAACUACGCGAAAGCGUAGCCAUUACCGUACGACCCUUCGGGGGAAAGCGGGGACCUUCGGGCCUCGCACUAUUAGGAGCGGCCGAUAUCGGAUUAGCCAGUUGGUGUGGGUAACGGCUCACCAAGGCGAUUACGAUCCGUAGCUGGUUUGAGAGGACGACCAGCCACACUGGGACUGGGAGACGGCUCAGACUCUACGGGAGGUAGCAGUGGGGAAUUCUUGGACAAUGGGGGAAACCUGAUCCAGCUAUCCCGCGUGUGCGAUGAAGGCCUUCGGGUUGUAAAGCACUUUUGGCAGGAAAGAAACGGCACGGGAUAAUACCCCGUGCAACCGACGGUACCUGCAGAAUAAGCACCGGCUAACUACGUGCCGCCAGCAGCCGCGGUAAUGCUGUAGGGUGCAAGCGUUAAUCGGAAUUACUGGGGCGCAAGCGUGCGCAGGCGGUUCGGAAAGAAAGAUGUGAAAUCCCAGAGCUUAACUCUUUGAACCGCAUUUUUAACUACCGAGCUAGAGUGUCAGAGGGAGGUGAAUUCGCGUGUAGCAGUGAAUGCGUAGAUAUGCGGAGGAACACCGAUGGCGAAGGCAGCUCUCUGGGGGAUAACACCUCGACGCUCGAUGCACGAAAGCGUGGGGAGCAAACAGGAUUAGAUACUCCUGUACGCUCCAAACGAUGUCAACUAGCUGUUGGGGCCUCGGGCCUUGGUAGCGCAGCUAACGCGUGAAGUUGACCGCCUGGGGAGUACGAUCGCAAGAUUAAACCUCAAAGCGAAUUGACGGGGAUUCCGUACAAGCGGUGGAUGAUGGAUUAAUUCGAUGCAACGCGAAGAACCUUACCUAUCCCGACAUGUCUGGAAUCCCGAAGAGAUUUGGGAGUGCUCGCAAGAGAACCGGAACACAGGUGCUGUAUGGCUGUCGUCAGCUCGUGUCGAGACGUUGGGUUAAGUCCUGCAACGAGCGCAACCCUUGUCAUUAGUUGCUACAAAGGGCACUCUAAUGACUGUCGGUGACAAACCGGAGGAAGGUGGGAUGACGUCAAGUCCUCAUGGCCCUUAUGUGGUAGGAGCCAUUAUCGUCAUACAAUGGUCGGGACAGAGGGUCGCCAACCCGGCGAGGGGGAGCCAAUCCCAGAAACCCGAUCGUAGUCCGGAUCGCAGUCUGCACCUGACUGCGUGAAGUCGGAAUCGCUAGUAAUCGCGGAUCGUGGGUAUGUCGCGGUGAAUACGUUCCCGGUCUUGUACACACUGCCCGUCACACCAUGGGAGUGGGUUUUACCAGAAGUAGUUAGAAGCCUAACCGUAUGAGGGCGAUUACCACGGUAGGAUUCAUGACUGGGGUGAAGUCAACAAGGUAACU
Molecule: ribosomal RNA, 1491 nt
Filed under: uncultured Bordetella sp.
Lineage: Bacteria; Pseudomonadati; Pseudomonadota; Betaproteobacteria; Burkholderiales; Alcaligenaceae
Description: partial 16S-23S ribosomal RNA intergenic spacer
Rfam family: Bacterial small subunit ribosomal RNA
Source: RNAcentral